GACAGAGGGUGCAAACGUUGCUCGGAAUCACUGGGCGUAAAGGGCGUGUAGGCGGUAAGGAAAGUCAGAUGUGAAAUCCCCAGGCUCAACCUGGGAACUGCAUUUGAAACUCCCUUUCUUGAGUAUCGGAGAGGAAAGCGGAAUUCCUGGUGUAGAGGUGAAAUUCGUAGAUAUCAGGAGGAACACCAGCGGCGAAGGCGGCUUUCUGGACGAUAACUGACGCUGAGACGCGAAAGCGUGGGGAGCAAACAGG
Molecule: ribosomal RNA, 253 nt
Filed under: uncultured bacterium
Lineage: Bacteria
Description: partial 16S ribosomal RNA
Rfam family: Bacterial small subunit ribosomal RNA
Source: RNAcentral